This 316-nucleotide long non-coding RNA is filed under the name Brassica napus (rape). RNAcentral's name for it is "long non-coding RNA (BNAP_LNC010295)". Lineage: Eukaryota; Viridiplantae; Streptophyta; Magnoliopsida; Brassicales; Brassicaceae. The record is from RNAcentral.
UGAUCUAAUAUAUAUGUUCAUUGUUUCGUCUUUACUUUUAUAUUUUAUGUUUGGUUAUGUUUUAGUUUGGUUAUCGGUUUUCAAUUUAUAUGUCGUAGAUUAAAAUUUUUUUUAGAAACUUAUCUUGCAUUUGACUCAUAACUGAUUAAAAAUAUUUUGAAUGAUAUAUUUUGUAAGAAAAUUAUUACUUUAAUGUUUUAAUUUUUUUUAAAUAAGUAAAGAUAUUUCUACAUGUGUUUUUAAUUUGGACAGUAAAGUAAAUGUAAAUUAUAAAAAUUGUUUACAAUUAUAAAAAAAACUUCCAAUUUAUUACAUU